GGUUUCCACUAUGUCACAAGAGACUCUCCUGGAAAAGGCACUCUUGAAACUGGUCAAUAUAAGGAAAGCUGUUCAGCAGGUAGGACAUGGAGGUUCUCAGUGACAUCAUCAUCAUUAGGUCCUUCCCGAAAAAUAUCUUGUAACCUGGAGAGCCCUAGCUCCUUCUGUGAGGUCAGAAGUGUUGUUGUGACACCACCUGCUUCUCAGAUAUUCCUUCAGUACAUCUAGGGUUUGUAACUGGCCUUUAAUUCAGAGUAAACAGCCAUUUUUUAGGGAGAGCAAAGAGGAUGAAAGGAUCCAAGAAGAGGAGAAGGAAGCUGCCCUUCUGUCAUGGUAUAAAAAAGGAAGAAAUACAUGGUCCACUGGAGAGCUCAGUGAAUCCUGGGAACCUAUUGAGGUUGAUGUUUAACUGGACCUCAAGCCAUUCCUCUCACUGCCCAUCCUCCUAAGUAUGAUGUAUGGCCUGAAGAAAUAAUCAUGGUGGGAACACAGCUUUUCUGAUGUCUCGAAAUUUUUGGAUAAACUAAGGAUUUGGAAGUUCAUCAUUGGAAGUAGGUACAUAAUAUUUACAUUUUUAUAUUCAACCUUAGGUGGGACCCUUGGGUUGCCAAAAUCAUUGCAAAAAAACAUGAAAUUGGAAAACAGAAUUUUUCACUUCACAUUCAGGAAUAUAUAAAGUCACCUAUCAAGGAAUGUACAAUGAGAAACUGUAAUGAAAUAUGAAUUCAAUUAAAGGAUUGUAGGGAAAAUGCUGGCCUUUGGGAAACAGAGAUAACCUAGGAUAUUGAACUGUAUGUCACAGUAAUGGACCUGGUAAUAAAAUUAUUAUCCAGAGGAAUCUCUUCCACUCCAUGUUCCGAGAUCUUUUCUACCCAUGCAAAGCUCCUGAUUAUCUUUUCCUUUCAGAGCAUGUAACCACUAAGGAAAUAAAGAGAAGUUUCUAGCUUUAAAGACAUGUAGUAUGAAAAGGUUUCCAUUGUUUCACAGGAGACAAACCUUGCAAGGGCACCCUCGAAUCUGGUCAUUGAAAGGAAAACACUUUAGCAGGUAGGCCAUGGCAAUUCUCAGUGACAUCACCAUUAGGCCUAUCUAAAAAAAUCUGUUGUAUCCUGGAGAUCCCUAGUUUCUUCUGUGAUGUAACAAGUGUUGUCCUGACAGAAGUUGCCUCUCCAGUAGUCCUUCAGUACCUCUAGGGUUUACUAUUUGGCCUCUAAUUCAGCAUAAACAGCCUUUGGGAAGGAGAAAAAAGAGGAUGAAGUGAUCAAAGAUGGGAAGAAGGAAGCUGGCCUUCUGCUUUGUUAUAAAAAAAAAGAAAUAUGUGGUCCAUGGGAAAUCUCAGUCAUUUCUGGGUAGUGGUUGAGAAGGUUUGCUGAAAAGAUAGUAUUGAUUGGAGCCUUUCAAAUAUGGUAAUCAGGAGAUGGGAGCCUCUCAGAUGCAUCUGGACUUCCCUGCUAGUUAUGGUUCCUGGAAGUCGGAGAAUUUAUAUCAUUCAUGUCUUUUUUCCAAAGCCAAGUGUUGGGAAGGGCACAGUUUUCUUUAAAGCUGAUGGUUUUGGUCCUAAGGAAGAAGGGAAAGACAAGUAUUGUGUCCUCAGCUCAGAGUAAAUUACUCCGUGCUUUGGAUUCCUAGAGUGCAGAUUGUGUCUGACACUGAUAUCUGGGAGAGAAAAUUGCUUCUAUUUGAGAUUUCACCAUCUUCGUCUUUGAACUAGUAUUACUCUGACUAUCAUUCCCUGACAGUGACCCUUUAGAUUUCUGAGUCAAAGGGUGUAAUUAAUUGGCAGUUUUCUUUUCUUUUAUUUCUUUCAUUUUUUUCUUUUUUAGCAAAAUAUAUAGCUUUUUUAAAUUUGAUAUUUCUAUAUUUACAUUACAAAUGUUAUUCCUUUUCCAAUUUCCUGUCUCUAAGAUCCCUAACCAGUCCACCUCCCAUUCUACUAUAAUCCCCUUACUACCCCUUUGCAUUCCCAUGAACUGUGAAUCAAAUAUAGGGAGGACCAAGAGCUUCUACUUCUGUUGGUUCCCAAGAAGGCCAUCUGGUACUAAAUAUGCAGUGGGAGCCAUAGGUAUGUCCAUGUACAUUCGUUGAAUAUUGGUCUAGUACUAGAAAGCUCUGGUUCAUUGACAUUGUUUUUCUUAUGGGUUUGCAAACCCCUUUACCUCUUGUAAUCCUUUCUCAAAAGUUAUCAACAAGAGUUCCAUUUACAAGUAACUGGUUUGCCACAAGCAUUCACUUAUGUAAUUGACAUAUUCUAGCUGUGUUUCUCAGGAAAUGUCUAUAUCCUCUUCCUGGCAGAAUGCACUUCUUAACUUCAACAAUCUUAUCUUAUUUUGGUGGCAGAUCUAUCUAUCUAUCUAUCUAUCUAUCUAUCUAUCUAUCUAUCUAUCUAUUUAUCUAUCUAUCUAUCUAUCUAUCUAUCAUAUAUAUAUUGGCUCCUAUGUGAGGUUAGAUGGAAUUUACCAUUGAUUCUGCGCAUCUAGAACAAGAAUGUAGAAUCUACAGAUGCAAAGGUCCCUCCUGUCCUUAUGAACUUAUUGAAAUUGAGGUUUCAGUUGAACUCAAAACAUUUCUUUCCCUGCCCAUCCACCUAAGUCUUAUGUUUGGCCUGAAAAAAGAAUCAUUGUAAAAUAUCCAAAAACCUCAAGUGUGGCCAUGGGAACACAAGAAGGAAGAUAUUGCAGAAAUGAUAUCAAAUGGGAAUAGAGAAACGAAUUGUAUAGUACAUGUUGUCUUUGAUUUACUGAUGUAUGAUGAUUUUUGGAUAAAAUAAGAAUUUGGAGUUUAUCAUUUGAAGUAGGUACAAAAUAUUUACACUGUUCUCUGCACUCUAUACUUCGGCCCUCUUUUUUGCCAAAAUCAUUACAAAAAUGCAACUGUAAAAGAGAAUUUUUGAGUACACUUUCAGGAAUGAAUACAAAGUGCCCUAUCUAGGAAUGAAGAAUUAGAAAAUGAAAUACAAUAUUCACUCAAUUAAAGGUCUGUAUGGAAAAUAAUGGCCUUUGGGAAACAGAGAAAAACUAGGAAAUUGACCUGUAUGUCACAGGAAUGGACCAGGGAGCAAAAUUAUUAUCAAGAAGAAUCUCCUCCACUCCAUCUUCCUAGAUCUUUUCUACCCAUGCCAAGUCCCGAUUAAUUUUGUCCAUUCAGACCAUGUAAAUACUAAUGCAGCAAAGAGAAGUCUCUAGCGUUAGAGAGAUGGAGUACAAAAGGUUUCCACUGUGUCAUAGGAGACUCUCCUAGAAAGGGCACCGUCAAAUCUGGUCAAUGUAAGGAAAUCUGUUUAGCAGGUAGUCCAUGGCAGUUCUCAGUGACAUCAUCCUUAGUACCCCCGUAAUAUAUCUCUUGUAUCCUUGAGAGCCCUAUCUUCUUCUGUGUUGUCACAAGUGUUGUCCUGACAGCAACUGCCUCUCAGAUAUUCAUUCCAUAUAUCUAUGGUUUACUAAUUGGCCUAUAAUUCAGUGUAAAGUGCCAUUUGGGAGGGAGGACAAAUAGGAUGAAGAUAUCAGAGAUGGGGAGAAGAAAGCUGACCUUCUGUCUUGGUACAAAAAAGGUCCUUGGGAAAGCUCUCUGAGUCCUUAGUAGGUGUUGAGUUGUUUCAUGAAGAGAUUGUCUUGAUCUGAGCCGUCUACAAAUGGGAAUUAGGAGCUGGGGUCCUCUCAGAAGCAUCUGGACUUCCUGCUCUUACAGUUCCUGGAAAUCAGAGAGUUUAUAUCAUUAAUUUCUUUAUCCCAAAACCCAAGUUUGGGAAGGUCACAGUUGUUUUCCUGACAGCUCAUGGCUUUUAUUCUUUUUGCCCAGAAGAAAAAUGUCCUAAGGAAGAAGUGAAAGACAAGUACUAUGUCCUCAUCUCAGGGUAAACUCCUCCACGCUUUGGAUUCCUAUAGUUCAGUUUGUGUCUGACACUGAUAUCUGGGAGAGAGAAGUGCUUCUAGUCGACUCUUAAUCAUAUCAGUCUUUUCACCAUUAUUAUUCUGAUUACCAUUCCCUGACAGUUACUCAUUAUAUUUCUGAAUUAAUAGGUGAGAAUGGCUAGCAGUUUCUUUUUUCAUUUCUUCCAUUUUUUUAGUAAAUUUUUGCUUAUUUUAUUGGCUAUUUCUAUAUUUACAUUUCAAAUGCUAUUUUCUUUCCAAAUUUCCUCUCCAUAAGGUUGUAACUGGACCGACUCCCCUUCUUUUACAACCCUCCUUACUGCACCUUGACCUUUCCUUGAACUGGGAACCAAACCUGAGAAGGACCAAGGGCUUCUACAUCCAUUGGUGCCCAAGGAAUCCAUCCUCUGCCACAUAUGCUGUUGGAGCCAUAGGACUUUCCAUGGGCAGAUUUUGAAUAUUGGUUUAGUGUCAGAAAGCUCUGGUUUGUUGGAAUAGUUGUUUUUAUGGGGUUGAAAGUCCCUUCAGCUCUUGUAAUCCUUUCUAAAUAUCUACCAAGAAGAGACAUGCUUUCUGUUCACCAGUUUACCACUAACAUUCACUUCUGUAUUUAACAUGCUCUAACUAUGACUCUCUGGAAAGAUCUUUCUCCAGUUCUUGGCAGCAUGCACCUCUUACCUUCAUCAAUCUUAUGUAAUUUUGGUGUCUCCUACACCUAUGAGGUUUGGUGGAAUUUUAACAUAAAUUAUGCACAACUGGGUCAAGAAUGUAGAAUCCACAAAUGACAAUGCCAAAUAGAUGCCAUUCUCUACUUAUGAAACUAUAGAAGUUAAGUUUUCCCUGGACCUCAAGACAUUCCUCUCACUGUCCAUCCCCCUGAACCUUAUGUUUGGCCUGAACAAAGAAUCAGGUUAAAAAACCCUCAACCCUCAUGUCAGAACCUUGGAAAUAAGGAAGGGAGAUAUUAGAGAACUGAUUAUCUUUUGGGACUACAGAACCACAUUCUAGAGUUGAUAUUGUCCUUUGCUUUACUGAUGUCUGUGAUUAUUGGAUAAAAUAAGGAUUUGGGAGUUUAUCAUUUGAAGUAGGUACACAAUAUUUACACUGUUAUAUUCACUUUAUCAUUGGGCCAAAAUCAUUGCAAAAAAUGGAAUUUUAAAACAGAAUUUUUGAGUAAACAUUCAGGAAUAUUUAUAAAGUUCCCUAUCAAGGAAUGUACAAUAAGAAAUUGAAACACAAUAUUCAUUCAAUUAAAGGUCUGUAGGGAGAAUACUGGCCUUUGGGAAACAGAGAAAACCUACAAAAUUUUUAUGUAUUUCACAGGAAUGAACCUGGGAAAAAAUUAUUAUCUAGAAGAAUCUCCUGCACUCCAUUUUCUUAAAUCGUUUAUACACAUGCCAAA
Rattus norvegicus (Norway rat) is the source of this 5268-nucleotide non-coding RNA. NCBI's taxonomy places the organism in Eukaryota, Metazoa, Chordata, Mammalia, Rodentia, Muridae. The record is from RefSeq and is a predicted model, not a curated record.